UGGGGAAUAUUCCGCAAUGGACGAAAGUCUGACGGAGCAAUGCCGCGUGAGUGAUGAAGGCUUUUGGGUCGUAACACUCUGUCUUUUGGGACGAAAUUCCCAUGUGUUAAUACCAUGUGGGAUUGACGGUACCUUAGGAGGAAGCCCCGGCUAACUACGUGCCAGCAGCCGCGGUAAUACGUAGGGGGCGAGCGUUGUCCGGAUUUAUUGGGCGUAAAGGGCGUGUAGGCGGUUUUUUAAGUCGGGUGUGAAAACUCUGGGCUCAACCCAGAGACUGCAUCCGAAACUGGGAAGCUUGAGGGCAGGAGAGGAAAGUGGAAUUCCAAGUGUAGCGGUGAAAUGCGUAGAUAUUUGGAAGAACACCAGUGGCGAAGGCGACUUUCUGGACUGUACCUGACGCUGAGGCGCGAAAGCCAGGGGAGCGAACG
RNAcentral lists this ribosomal RNA (428 nucleotides) under uncultured prokaryote. RNAcentral describes it as "bacterial SSU rRNA". It matches the Rfam family "Bacterial small subunit ribosomal RNA", at positions 355 to 774 of the family's 1533-position model. The record is from RNAcentral.